Molecule: long non-coding RNA, 257 nt
Filed under: Brassica napus (rape)
Lineage: Eukaryota; Viridiplantae; Streptophyta; Magnoliopsida; Brassicales; Brassicaceae
Description: long non-coding RNA (BNAP_LNC003404)
Source: RNAcentral
GGAUUCAAAAUACCCAAAGAACCAAAUUUCACUUAACAAACCUUUCAACCCCAAAACCUCAAUAAUAUCGGCUCAAUUUCUCGAUUCCGCAUCAAACCUUUCUCCACUCAUAAACUACUCAAUUUCUUCUCUACAACAAGCCUUUAAGAAAUUUUUUUUUUGGAAAAGCUUUUCCUCUACAUCCUUUAGAACUAACUUAUUAAACUCAUGUAUAAUCUUAAACCUCUCAACUCUUCCAUCAUUUCACACCCAAAAUC